AGCGGCGAAAGGGAGAGUAACGCGUAGAUAUCUGCCUCGAGGCCCGGGAUAGCGGCGGGAAACUGCCGGUAAUACCGGAUAACAUCUCCGGAUCAAAGGUGUGAUUCCGCCUCGAGAUGAGUCUGCGUCCUAUUAAUGCUUGUUGGUGUGGUAACGGCGCACCAAGGCGAAGAUGGGUACCGGGUGUGAGAGCAUGGCCCGGCUCACUGGGACUGAGACACUGCCCAGACACCUACGGGUGGCUGCAGUCGAGAAUCUUCCGCAAUGGGCGAAAGCCUGACGGAGCGACGCCGCGUGCGGGAUGAAGGCCUUCGGGUUGUAAACCGCUGUCAGUUGGGAGGAAAUCUAUGGGGGUCAUCCCUCAUAGUUGACCUAUCUUCAGAGGAAGGACGGGCUAAGUUCGUGCCAGCAGCCGCGGUAAGACGAACCGUCCAAACGUUAUUCGGAAUUACUGGGCUUAAAGGGUGCGUAGGCGGCUUGGCAAGUUGGGUGUGAAAUCCCUCGGCUCAACCGAGGAACUGCGCUCAAAACUGCCAAGCUAGAGGAAGAUAGAGGUGAGCGGAACUAAUGGUGGAGCGGUGAAAUGCGUUGAUAUCAUUAGGAACACCUGUGGCGAAAGCGGCUCACUGGGUCUAA
RNAcentral lists this ribosomal RNA (636 nucleotides) under uncultured bacterium. RNAcentral's name for it is "bacterial SSU rRNA". It matches the Rfam family "Bacterial small subunit ribosomal RNA", at positions 94 to 738 of the family's 1533-position model. The record is from RNAcentral.